Molecule: ribosomal RNA, 74 nt
Filed under: Bacillus anthracis (anthrax bacterium)
Lineage: Bacteria; Bacillati; Bacillota; Bacilli; Caryophanales; Bacillaceae
Also listed under: 3 other names
Source: RNAcentral
UCUGGUAAUGAUGGCAGAGAGGUCACACCCGUUCCCAUACCGAACACGGAAGUUAAGCUCUCUAGCGCCGAUGG